UUCCUACGGGACGCAGCAGUGAGGAAUAUUGGUCAAUGGGCGAGAGCCUGAACCAGCCAAGUCGCGUGCAGGAAGACGGCUCUAUGAGUUGUAAACUGCUUUUGUACGAGGGUAAACGCAGAUACGUGUAUCUGUCUGAAAGUAUCGUACGAAUAAGGAUCGGCUAACUCCGUGCCAGCAGCCGCGGUAAUACGGAGGAUUCAAGCGUUAUCCGGAUUUAUUGGGUUUAAAGGGUGCGUAGGCGGUCGGAUAAGUUAGAGGUGAAAUCCCGAGGCUCAACUUCGGAAUUGCCUCUGAUACUGUUG
RNAcentral lists this ribosomal RNA (305 nucleotides) under uncultured bacterium. RNAcentral's name for it is "bacterial SSU rRNA". It matches the Rfam family "Bacterial small subunit ribosomal RNA", at positions 336 to 638 of the family's 1533-position model. The record is from RNAcentral.